This 375-nucleotide ribosomal RNA is filed under the name Polycoryphinae gen. sp. RNAcentral describes it as "partial large subunit ribosomal RNA". It matches the Rfam family "Bacterial large subunit ribosomal RNA", at positions 1833 to 2600 of the family's 2925-position model. The record is from RNAcentral. Lineage: Eukaryota; Metazoa; Arthropoda; Arachnida; Opiliones; Assamiidae.
GUUAUUUGGAGAAUAAAUAAUCUUACCUGCUCAGUGAUGAAUGGCUAUAGUACUUUAACUAUACAAAGGUAGCAUAAUCAUUUGUUUUUUAAUUGAAGACUGGAAUGAAAGGUGUUUCUGGGAAAAAGGUUUUAUGGAUUGAAAUUUAGUUUGGGUUAAAAACGAUCUUAUGAGCUCCUGGGACGAGAAGACCCUAGAAGCUUGAAGAAUCUUUUAGUUGGGGUGACUAAAGAAGAAGAUUAACUUUUUUUAAGUUACUCUAGGGAUAACAGCGUUAUUAAGCUGGAAAGUUCUUAUUGAGGGCUUAGAUUGCGACCUCGAUGUUGAAUUAAAGGGUGAAGAGGCUCUAGUCUGUUCGACUAAUAAAUAUUUACA